RNAcentral lists this small nuclear RNA (306 nucleotides) under Heterocephalus glaber (naked mole-rat). Its description in RNAcentral is "7SK RNA". It matches the Rfam family "7SK RNA". Rfam says of the family: 7SK was discovered as an abundant small nuclear RNA in the mid-70s but a possible function has only recently been suggested. Two independent studies have found that 7SK RNA binds the CDK9/cyclin T complex (known as elongation factor P-TEFb). The record is from Rfam by way of RNAcentral. Lineage: Eukaryota; Metazoa; Chordata; Mammalia; Rodentia; Bathyergidae.
GGAUGUGAGGGCAAUCUGGCCAUGACAUCUGUCACCCUACUGAUUGCCAGGGUUGAUUUGGCUGAUCUGGCUGACUAGGUGGGUGUUUGCUUCCUCCUUCACCAUUCCAUGUGCAUCCCUCCCAAAGCUGCGUGCUCAGUUGAAGAGGACAACCACUCCCUGAUAGAGGAGGACCAUUUUCUUAGUCAAGGGUAUAUGAGUAAAUGUCCUCCCCUGGUGGAACCUCCAACAAGCUCUCAAGAAAAGAUUUGACUAGUCUGUUUAUAGUUUACAAACCUAAAAAACUGUAAAAGUGUUACUGUAGUU